RNAcentral lists this transfer RNA (65 nucleotides) under Cherax quinquecarinatus. RNAcentral describes it as "tRNA-Asn". The record is from RNAcentral. Lineage: Eukaryota; Metazoa; Arthropoda; Malacostraca; Decapoda; Parastacidae.
UUUAAUGGAAGCCAAAAUGAGGCUUAUCACUGUUAAUGAUAGAACUGAAGCACCCUUCCCAUUAA